CCCUUAGACGUUCUGGGCCGCACGCGCGCUACACUGACCAGUGCAACAAGCAUCCGUCCUUGGCCGACAGGCCCGGGCAAUCUUUGAACGCUGGUCGUGAUGGGGAUAGACUUUUGCAAUUUUUGGUCUUCAACGAGGAAUUCCUAGUAAACGCAAGUCAUCAACUUGCAUUGAUUACGUCCCUACCCUUUGUACACACCGCCCGUCGCACCUACCGAUUGAAUGGUCCGGUGAAGCCUCCGGAUUGGCGCGCACCUCGGUGCCGCCGAGAAGUUGGCUAAACCUUACCAUUUAGAGGAAGGUGAANUCGUAACA
This 315-nucleotide ribosomal RNA is filed under the name uncultured eukaryote. RNAcentral's name for it is "partial 18S ribosomal RNA". It matches the Rfam family "Eukaryotic small subunit ribosomal RNA", at positions 1470 to 1796 of the family's 1831-position model. The record is from RNAcentral.